GCCGAAGUGGUGGAACCUGGUAGACACGCCAUCUUGAGGGGGUGGUGGGGAAUACCCGUGCGGGUUCAAAUCCCGCCUUCGGCACCA
Molecule: transfer RNA, 87 nt
Filed under: Deltaproteobacteria bacterium CG07_land_8_20_14_0_80_60_11
Lineage: Bacteria; Deltaproteobacteria
Also listed under: 6 other names
Description: tRNA-Leu
Rfam family: tRNA
About the family: Transfer RNA (tRNA) molecules are approximately 80 nucleotides in length.
Source: RNAcentral